AACUUUCGGCAAUGUAUCACUUGGCUCUCGCAUCGAUUAAGAACACAGCGAAAUGUGAUAAGUAAUGUGAAUUGCAGAAUCCAGUGAAUCAUCGAAUCUUUGAACGCAUCUUGCGCUCCUUGGCAUUCCGAGGAGCAUGCCUGUUUGAGUGUCAUUAAACUAUCAAAACACUUUUAUUUCUUGAGGUGUUUUGGACUUUGGGAGUACUGUGCUGGUCUCUUUUUGAGCCAGCUCUCCUCAAAUGCAUUAACUUCGGAGACCCAUCAGUGUGAUAAUUUUGUUUAUACGCUGGCUUCUCCUUUUUUAAUUGCCCCUUUUGACCUCAAAUCAGGUAGGACUACCCGCUGAACUUAAGCAUAUCAAUAAGCGGAGGCU
Molecule: unclassified non-coding RNA, 375 nt
Filed under: uncultured Amanita
Lineage: Eukaryota; Fungi; Basidiomycota; Agaricomycetes; Agaricales; Amanitaceae
Description: sequence contains ITS2
Rfam family: 5.8S ribosomal RNA (bases 1-154)
Source: RNAcentral